Molecule: ribosomal RNA, 253 nt
Filed under: uncultured bacterium
Lineage: Bacteria
Description: partial 16S ribosomal RNA
Rfam family: Bacterial small subunit ribosomal RNA
Source: RNAcentral
UACGUAGGGUGCAAGCGUUGUCCGGAAUUAUUGGGCGUAAAGAGCUCGUAGGCGGUUUGUUGCGUCGGCUGUGAAAUCCCGAGGCUCAACCUCGGAUCUGCAGUCGAUACGAGCAAACUAGAGUGUUGCAGGGGAGACUGGAAUUCCUGGUGUAGCGGUGAAAUGCGCAGAUAUCAGGAAGAACACCCGUGGCUAAGGCGGUUCUCUAGUACGGUACUGACGCUGAGACGCGAAAGCGUGGGGAGCGAACAGG